AUUGAACGCUGGCGGCAGGCUUAACACAUGCAAGUCGAGCGGGGUGAUGGUGCUUGCACUAUCACUUAGCGGCGGACGGGUGAGUAAUGCUUAGGAAUCUGCCUAUUAGUGGGGGACAACAUCUCGAAAGGGAUGCUAAUACCGCAUACGUCCUACGGGAGAAAGCAGGGGAUCACUUGUGACCUUGUGCUAAUAGAUGAGCCUAAGUCGGAUUAGCUAGUUGGUGGGGUAAAGGCCUACCAAGGCGAGGAUCUGUAGCGGGUCUGAGAGGAUGAUCCGCCACACUGGGACUGAGACACGGCCCAGACUCCUACGGGAGGCAGCAGUGGGGAAUAUUGGACAAUGGGGGGAACCCUGAUCUAGCCAUGCCGCGUGUGUGAAGAAGGCCUUAUGGUUGUAAAGCACUUUAAGCGAGGAGGAGGCUUACCUAGUUAAUACCUGGGAUAAGUGGACGUUACUCGCAGAAUAAGCACCGGCUAACUCUGUGCCAGCAGCCGCAGUAA
This 503-nucleotide ribosomal RNA is filed under the name uncultured bacterium. Its description in RNAcentral is "partial 16S ribosomal RNA". It matches the Rfam family "Bacterial small subunit ribosomal RNA", at positions 30 to 523 of the family's 1533-position model. The record is from RNAcentral.